AUUAAACGCUGGCGGCAUGCCUUACACAUGCAAGUCGAACGGCAGCACGGGGGCAACCCUGGUGGCGAGUGGCGGACGGGUGAGUAACACAUCGGAACGUGCCCUGGAGUGGGGGAUAACGCAGCGAAAGCUACGCUAAUACCGCAUAUUCUGUGAGCAGGAAAGCAGGGGGAUCGCAAGACCUUGCGCUUUGGGAGCGGCCGAUGUCGGAUUAGCUAGUUGGUGGGGUAAAGGCUUACCAAGGCGACGAUCCGUAGCGGGUCUGAGAGGAUGAUCCGCCGCACUGGGACUGAGACACGGCCCAGACUCCUACGGGAGGCAGCAGUGGGGAAUUUUGGACAAUGGGCGGAAGCCUGAUCCAGCAAUGCCGCGUGUGUGAAGAAGGCCUGCGGGUUGUAAAGCACUUUCAGUAGGGAAGAUUAUGACGGUACCUACAGAAGAAGCACCGGCUAACUCCGUGCCAGCAGCCGCGGUAAAGUGACU
Molecule: ribosomal RNA, 483 nt
Filed under: uncultured bacterium
Lineage: Bacteria
Description: bacterial SSU rRNA
Rfam family: Bacterial small subunit ribosomal RNA
Source: RNAcentral